This 433-nucleotide ribosomal RNA is filed under the name uncultured bacterium. RNAcentral describes it as "partial 16S ribosomal RNA". It matches the Rfam family "Bacterial small subunit ribosomal RNA", at positions 29 to 507 of the family's 1533-position model. The record is from RNAcentral.
AACGAACGCUGGCGGCAUGCCUAACACAUGCAAGUCGAACGAGACCUUCGGGUCUAGUGGCGCACGGGUGCGUAACGCGUGGGAACCUGCCUUUAGGUUCGGAAUAACUCAGAGAAAUUUGAGCUAAUACCGGAUGAUGUCUUCGGACCAAAGAUUUAUCGCCUUUAGAUGGGCCCACGUUGGAUUAGCUAGUUGGUGGGGUAAAGGCCUACCAAGGCGACGAUCCAUAGCUGGUCUGAGAGGAUGAUCAGCCACACUGGGACUGAGACACGGCCCAGACUCCUACGGGAGGCAGCAGUGGGGAAUAUUGGACAAUGGGCGAAAGCCUGAUCCAGCAAUGCCGCGUGAGUGAUGAAGGCCUUAGGGUUGUAAAGCUCUUUUACCCGAGAUGAUAAUGACAGUAUCGGGAGAAUAAGCUCCGGCUAACUCCGUG